This 476-nucleotide ribosomal RNA is filed under the name uncultured bacterium. Its description in RNAcentral is "bacterial SSU rRNA". It matches the Rfam family "Bacterial small subunit ribosomal RNA", at positions 33 to 507 of the family's 1533-position model. The record is from RNAcentral.
GAGACGCUGGCGGCGUGCCUAACACAUGCAAAGUGAACGGAGAGGACAUGAAGUAUUUCGGUACGGAAUGCUCUCUUAGUGGCGAACGGGUGAGUAACACGUGGGCAACCUGCCCCAGACUGGGGGAUAACAUUGUGAAAACAGUGCUAAUACCGCAUGACAGGGUUCCGGGCAUCCGGGACCCUUGAAAGGAGAAAUCCGGUCAGGGAUGGGCCCGCGUCCAAUUAGCUAGUUGGCGGGGUAACGGCCCACCAAGGCGACGAUUGGUAGCCGAACUGAGAGGUUGAUCGGCCACAUUGGGACUGAGACACGGCCCAGACUCCUACGGGAGGCAGCAGUGGGGAAUAUUGGGCAAUGGGCGAAAGCCUGACCCAGCGACGCCGCGUGAAGGAUGAAGGUCUUCGGAUUGUAAACUUCUUUGAUCAGGGAAGAAAGAAAUGACGGUACCUGAAAAACAAGCCACGGCUAACUACGUG